GUGAUGUAUUGAGAGGUUAUCAGUGAUGUAUUUAGAGGUUAUCAGUGGUGUAUUUAGAGGUUAUCAGUGGUGUAUUUAGAGGUUAUCAGUGAUGUAUUUAGAGGUUAUCAGUGAUGUAUUUAGAGGUUAUCAGUGAUGUAUUUAGAGGUUAUCAGUGAUGUAUUUAGAGGCUAUCAGUGAUGUAUUUAGAGGUUAUCAGUGAUGUAUUUAGAGCUACACUAACUA
Oncorhynchus keta (chum salmon) is the source of this 225-nucleotide long non-coding RNA. RefSeq lists it as uncharacterized. The transcript is spliced from 3 exons. The record is from RefSeq and is a predicted model, not a curated record. Lineage: Eukaryota; Metazoa; Chordata; Actinopteri; Salmoniformes; Salmonidae.